UAAGUGUGCAUGAAGGGAAGAGCAUACACUCUGGAAAAUGCACCUAUUUCUCAAAAGCCACACAGAUUCCCUUUGAGGCACCAAUGCAGGGCAGUCAGAUAACUCUGAAACAUGGUAGAAACAGGUUGCUGAGCCAAAAUGGCGAAGGUAGAGAGACGAUCACAUAAGCAUUUCGUAUGGGAUGCAUCGGAGUUUGGGAGCAGAGAUCAAUCAUGAUAGAAGGGAAAUAUGGCUCUGGAAGCAACUGUGCUGCUAUGGAAUGGGAAAGGGCUGACCUGGGCAUCUAUGAAGAGGAU
This is a long non-coding RNA of Mauremys mutica (yellowpond turtle), 296 nucleotides long. RefSeq lists it as uncharacterized. NCBI's taxonomy places the organism in Eukaryota, Metazoa, Chordata, Testudines, Geoemydidae. The transcript has 3 exons. The record is from RefSeq and is a predicted model, not a curated record.